Molecule: long non-coding RNA, 919 nt
Organism: Triticum dicoccoides
Lineage: Eukaryota; Viridiplantae; Streptophyta; Magnoliopsida; Poales; Poaceae
Exons: 3
Source: RefSeq, a predicted model, not a curated record
UCUCCCGCCGCAGCUGCCUCUUGCUCCACCACCGCAGCUACCCUCGCAUGCCUCCCCAAGCUCCCCCUUUCUCAAAAAAAUCCUUGAUUUGGAUCCCAUGUUAGUCCAACCCACAGCUACCGCCGCGCUCUGCUUCGGCUGCGUUGGAACCAUCGUCGGAGAGCCCGCAGGCGCCGGAUUCGGACCACCAACAACAACCUAAAGGCCGACGAGCAGCUGGGUGUCGUCCUCGCCAUCGACGAUGACGGUGACGCCGACACCGCGAAGCGAGGGUGAGAUCCUCCAGUCGGCCAAUGUCAAGAGCUUGCGGGCCUCCUCGCCGCCCCUGCCUUGUCGCGGGUUCGCCACACUGCAGCUCUUCUUGUCCAUUUCUCCCUGGCUUGACUGGUUGCGGCGCGGGAGAAGCGGCCGCGCUCGCUGAGGGGGACGCCGUGCGAGCGGAGGCCCUCUUCACCAAGAGCAUUGUCAUUCACUGAAUCAUUCUUUUUAGCCGGCGGCCAAUCUUUACAUCUGUUUGGCCGCCAAGUACUCCAUAUGCCGGCGAGAAUAGCGAUUGGGGAUACUGCCAGCGCCCCACUCACCCACCUCAGUCAUGAACUCAUGAUGCAUGCGAGAUGGAAAUGCGUGCAGAGAUACACACAUGGCGCAUUAGCAGAACGUAAGAGUCUGAAUUUCAAGAUACAGGAGGAGAACUGAUAGUUACUGAAGCCGAUGGAUCCACUGUCUGCGAAGGUAUCAUUCAGCAAAUAUGAUGGCAGUGGAAUUGCCAUCCUUUAUCUGGAAUGUGGUUGUAGCCCACAAAGUCCAGCGACCCCUUCACCAGAUCGGCCAGCUUCAGCGUGAACCUCGGCGUCCUUUCUCCGGCCCUCAAUCUCGUCGUUUCCGAGUCAUCGCCAAAGAAUAUAGGCAAACCUUUUGA